RNAcentral lists this ribosomal RNA (253 nucleotides) under uncultured prokaryote. Its description in RNAcentral is "partial 16S ribosomal RNA". It matches the Rfam family "Bacterial small subunit ribosomal RNA", at positions 524 to 776 of the family's 1533-position model. The record is from RNAcentral.
UACGUAGGUGGCAAGCGUUGUUCGGAAUUAUUGGGCGUAAAGGGCGCGUAGGCGGUUUGUUAAGUCAGCUGUGAAAGCCCGGGGCUCAACCCCGGAGGGUCCACUGAUACUGGCAAACUAGAGUACGGAAGAGGUAGCUGGAAUUCCCGGUGUAGCGGUGAAAUGCGUAGAGCUCGGUAGGAACACCAGUGGCGAAGGCGGCUUCUUGUGUCACUCUUGACGCUGAGGCGCGAAAGCUGGGGGAGCGAACGGG